GUGGAGAGUACCCUAUUUUUUUCAUAUAGAGAGAAUUUGCUUAGGUCGUUAGGAAUCUAUUAGAUUAUUAGUUUGUUAUAAUAGAAUGGCCAGUUGUAUGAAGAUUGUGGACUGUUUGUCCAUAUGGUGAUUAGCUGUAGUAUAGCUGGAAGACAGUUGUUGUAGAAUUGGACAAUAGCUGUAAUAGAGCUAUAGAAUAACUGUCUUUGUU
This 211-nucleotide long non-coding RNA is filed under the name Elaeis guineensis (African oil palm). RNAcentral's name for it is "long non-coding RNA (EGUI_LNC073574)". Lineage: Eukaryota; Viridiplantae; Streptophyta; Magnoliopsida; Arecales; Arecaceae. The record is from RNAcentral.